CACGUAGGGUGCGAGCGUUGUCCGGAAUUAUUGGGCGUAAAGAGCUCGUAGGCGGUGUGUCGCGUCGGCCGUGAAAACCUGCAGCUUAACUGUGGGCGUGCGGUCGAUACGGGCAUCACUGGAGUUCGGCAGGGGAGACUGGAAUUCCUGGUGUAGCGGUGAAAUGCGCAGAUAUCAGGAGGAACACCGGUGGCGAAGGCGGUGCUCUGGGCCGGUACUGACGCUGAGGAGCGAAAGCGUGGGUAGCAAACAGG
Molecule: ribosomal RNA, 254 nt
Filed under: uncultured bacterium
Lineage: Bacteria
Description: partial 16S ribosomal RNA
Rfam family: Bacterial small subunit ribosomal RNA
Source: RNAcentral